Molecule: ribosomal RNA, 378 nt
Filed under: Coolia tropicalis
Lineage: Eukaryota; Dinophyceae; Peridiniales; Ostreopsidaceae
Description: partial large subunit ribosomal RNA
Rfam family: Eukaryotic large subunit ribosomal RNA
Source: RNAcentral
AAUAUGUGUUGCAUAGUGGUGCUCUGUUUGCAUUUCUGAUUUCUGAUGUUAUGCGCACGCCUUUUGAAGCUGGACAGACAUGGCUGGGUGGUUUGUGUAUCUUCUUGGAGGAGUGGCUUGUGUGCUGACAAAGAAGGUUGCUUGACCCGUCUUGAAACACGGACCAAGGAGUCUAACAGACGUGCAAAAGAAUGAUUUAAAAUGUGGCAAAACUGAAAGGAAGAGUUAGCAUGUGUGCUCCAACGGCCAAAUGCUUGGUAGACACGCAUUUGAAUUUGAGCAUGUUUGUUAGGACCCGAAAGAUGGUGAACUAUGCUUGAUCAGAAUGAAUUCAGAGGAAACUCUGACGGAAGUUCGUAUCGAUACUGACGUGCAAAU